UCUGCCCAGCCCUUUAAAAUGGCUGAAAAAAAGAAUGCUAGGGAGAAGGGGGACCAGGAGCAGAUUUCUGCAUCAAUGGACCUGUAAGCUUGAUUAUGUGAUGCUGAAUUCCUGCUGCCGGUCUGUGCAGACAAUACUAGAUGAACCUGCUUCGUAUUAUCACCUUCACCUGCCUGUCUCUCCCUCCCUCCCUCUCACACCAUUCCCAGCCUUCUCUUCUAAUCAAAGCCAGAUGUGGAAUAAAGACAUCUCAGCAUUUGGAGUGCAAAGGGACAUGAAUGUGGCGGAUGGCCCAGCGCUGCGAGGGAGGGCAAUGGAAGAUGAGAGCUACUGUUCUGGCAGACAAUUAACACAAUCAUGUUUAUGAAUGUGGAUCAGUAAUUCCAGAUGGACCAAACCACCGUAAGGCCCAGAGAGAGAAAGAGAAAGAGGCGAGAAUUGCGGAAAUGGGACCUGAUCCCUCCUGGCAGCACAAAGAUGAGGGCAAUCUUCAUUUGAGGCACCAAAUACGGGAGGGGAGGGGCAGCAUGUUGUGGAGGCAUCUCAAGAUGCUAUGAACAGGCCUUUCUAGAUCAGACGAAAGGUUGGUUUUGCCCUGUAUCCUGUCUCCAAUAGUGGUCAGUCUGAUAAAUCUGGGAAGCCCACAACUCAUAUGUUUCACAUUUUUGCGUUAUGUAUGCUUUUAUCAUUGUAAGUCCCUUUGAGGAAUUUUAUGCAGUAAGUGAUGAAUAAAUGUAUUAAUGCAACAACAAUGGCAUGAAGGCAACAGCUCUCCCACACUGCCUAUCCCCACAUCUGAUUUUUGCCACCUUUAUCAUGUUUUUUUCCAGUAGCAAAUUCCAGUGGUA
Molecule: non-coding RNA, 848 nt
Organism: Podarcis muralis (Common wall lizard)
Lineage: Eukaryota; Metazoa; Chordata; Lepidosauria; Squamata; Lacertidae
Source: RefSeq, a predicted model, not a curated record